This is a long non-coding RNA of Alligator mississippiensis (American alligator), 4558 nucleotides long. RefSeq lists it as uncharacterized. The transcript is spliced from 3 exons. The record is from RefSeq and is a predicted model, not a curated record. Lineage: Eukaryota; Metazoa; Chordata; Crocodylia; Alligatoridae.
GGUAGGAUGGCCCUGGUUUGCGAUAGCCUCCUGAGCUUUUUGCUUCCAGGGCAACAAGUCGAGUGGGGGGCUUCUUUGGCCAGGGCUGCUGUGAAAUCUGGCGUAGGGCUGGGCCGGCCGGUCCGAGUCUGUCGGACUCCACGUAUAGGAGAAACGACAGAUGUCUAAGGAGCUUGUGGGGCGUUUGAUCCGGGCUCAUCCCUGGCACUUGGGGUGCAGGCCUGGCCCCUCUCUGGGGUGUGUUGAGGGUGAGCUCUGGGUUUGCGUUCAUGCCCCUGACUUGCUGUUCCUACAGGCCUCCCUUCAGUCUUGGGAACAGCGCUAUGUCCUGUGUGCCUGGGGGUGUCACUGGUGUCUCUCUCUUUCUACCUCUUUGCAAAAUGUCUGCAGCACUUGUUCUUUUUCUGCUCUUGUCAGGACUGGAGGGAAGGCUGUGGUGGGUUUUUUCCUGCCGCCUAAAAUGGUUUCCACCUCGGGGAGGGGUCUGACUGCACCCUGUGUGCCCUGUUUAGGCUGGGUGGGGGUAUCGCCUUUGAAUUCUCGGGGGUUGCUUUUGCCCUCAGGGCUGUGAGUCCCGUGUGCCGCGUGACUUUUCCUAAUUUAUUUUUGUUUUGGUGACAUGUACGGGAGUCAUCUGGCUGAGGCUCGAGGCUCCUAAGUGGGCAUCGGGAAGAAGAGGUGGAGAUAUAGCGCCUGUGACCUGAGGAAGCUGGUGAAAGAGACGGAUGUCGGCGCAUUCGCUUUGCGGUUGCCCGGUGUGAGACUUCUGCCCGUGUGGUGGCCCUGGGCUGGAAGCCUUGCUGCGUGAAGCCUGCGAUAGAUGUUGGAUUGCUGCUCCCUGUGUGGUGAGAAGGAUUGGCUGCAAUGACUGGAGGCCUGGAAAAGGAGCCGUGUGGCCAGAUACGGCGUGCAUUUGACUUUUGGGGCUGGAGCCUCUCGGUAGCGGCUGCGUGGCGGAGCCUGCAGUUGCCUUGUCGAGGCGGCUUCCUGGCUGCAAGUGGAACAAAUUGCCAGAGCCCAGUGGCUGGUGGUGUUGGGAUGCGCGGUGUGUGUAGUGCUUGCCUUGCUUCCCUUGUGCUGAAAGUGUGUUCUGUGUUCUUGCUAGGGUCCUGGCCUGCAUGGAGGCAAGUAGGUGAGAGGACUGCAUCGUGGAAGAGCCGUGGGACAGUGUUGGAUGACAGACGCGGACCGGCCGGAUGUUGCCCGCUACGUUGGAAUGUCCCUUCUGUAUUGGGAUUCUGCGUGGGGGUGUGGGGUGGGUUUGGGAGUGUCCUCAGCUUUAUGAUCCUGGAGCCAGGGGUUUGCAAGCAGUAUGUUUGGGUCAGUUUGUCUGUGCUGUGGGUGGACCUAGGGUGACAAGAGGUGAAAUCCAUUCCUGUGACCCUGUAGUUGGACGAGCACCCAGACACUUGCAGGAACCGCUGGGCAAGCAGGCCCAGAGCUUUCAACUGUUGAGCACGGCAGUGCUGGAGCCAGCUAGCAUGGAAGCAGAAGGGCCGGCCGGGCACGGGGCCUGGGCUGCCUCUGUGGCUUCUGUGCUAGUGAGGUUGAGAAUUGCAGUGCUGGGGGGUUGGAGGUUUUGGACCUGCUUGUGCGGGGUUCUUGUUGGUGUUGGGGUGCUGGUUCUGCUGGGUCAGAGCAAUGGGUUUUAUUCUGCCUGACUGCCAUGUUUACCGUGUCCUGCAGGGCUGGGAGCCUGUCGUAGCAGUGUGUGUUUGGCUGGGGCGGGGUGGUUGUCUGGUUUGGUCCCUGAGCAGUGUGGUGAGCAUGUUUGUUAUUACCCUGAAAUAAAAUAGUUUUCUGAUAGCCUACUGUUAGGCUAACAAUAAUUUAGAUUAUUAAGAAGUAUUAGCUUUGCAGUUGAAUACAAGGCAUGACCUGUGGCCUAGCAAUGCCGCUGACCACAAGGCAGAAUGAUAGCUAAGCCUUUGCUUAUGUUAAGUAAUCAUUUUAACUGUGUUGACUAUUUUCUGAGUAAAAUGCAGCAAGUGAAUCUGUCUGUGUGCUGUAAACCAGAUACAGCAAGGAACAAGGUAAGAGGAAGAAGGCAUUGUUCUAAGUACAGUGAUCGUGUCCUUAAGAAGUAUCUAGUACUGUGCAAGUUUUUGCUAAGAUAUCAUAAUGUUACUGUUACUUAUGUUAGAAAAUAUUGUUGGAAAAUCAAUGUGACCUUUGUAUGACCUUUGGUCAAUGCUGGCUGAUGCAACCUUGCAGUAAGAUUGCCAUGAUCUGUCAAUAUAGGCGGGCAGACAAGGUGAUUGGGCCCAACCGUGCGGGGUGAGCAAAGCCAAGCCAUCUUGGUGAUUUCCUCUGAGUUUUGCGCAUGCGUUAUGAAGGAGCUUAUGUAACCAGAGUUUAUAAAUCUAUGUGUUGAGUUGCAGUCGGGGGGUCUCUCUGCCCUUACGAGGACAGGGGACCUUUGGUCGAAUAAACUGAAAAGACCACACCCUCGUCUCCUGCUUAUUGGAGUCUCAGCUGGGAAACGAGCCUUGUUCAGGUUAAGAGAGUCUGCAGGUGUUGCCUUACCAGACUGGGAGCCUGGUCAGACAAUUUCUCUCACAAUUUGGCGAGCCAGCCAGGAGCACCCAGCUCGUCGCGUCGCCGCUGCCGCCUAAACCCAACCUCCGGCCGGCCGUAACAGAGGAGUCUCUCUAGUGUUUACACAGGUCAGCUGCUUUGGUUCAGCCGGUACCCCUGGACUGUAACCUUCACUCCUAUCAAUCAGGACGCUGAGUUUGGGUAAAACAACAUCGGCGAAAAACCGCCUCGGCCCAAGUCUGGGCAGGUCCGUACCAAGUUCUUCUUACUAUACACGCUGCUGUGAAAAUCGCCGAGAAAGAGGGCCGGAUUCAUCGCGGUCGCCUCAAACCUGGUAUCGGCAAGUAAUGACCGGUCAGCUGUUGUUCCGCCUUUAUGGCUAGAAAGAAUCGGAGAAUCGUGGACCGUUCAGACUCCUUAAUAGAAAUGAUACGUGUAUUAAGCUUGCUUUGUAUUAUCUUUCUUGUUAUACUUUGUGUUUGUAUUUCACUGUGGAUGCAGGGAAGGUUAUAAGUUAAUAAUGGCAUUUCACCGGGCUAUCCUAACAGGAUUAUUGCUCUUGAUGCAUAAAACACCACGGCUAUUUAUGGGAAAGCGAUACAGAACAGGAAGACCAGUGGAAAGAUAAUACUUACCUGAUUUCCACUAUAGCUAUAGCACAGGCCCUAAAAUUUGUCUAAUGGUUGGAUAUGUGGUACACAGUCUCCUUCUACUAACUUUCCACCCUAUUCUUUAAUCUCUUGGGAAGGGAUUUUUUCUAAUCCAGAGUGGGUUGAUACGGAUAGAGCUGGAAUAAGUACCUGGGAGGACAAUCCUUAUUUUAAAGAGAGAGUACUUUCAGACAUCAUGUUAUCUGCCCAGGUGUGUUGGGAAAAUCCUCAUGGAAUAGGAAAAGAGAUUUUUAGGAUGGCAACCAGGUUGUAAACUAACCAUUAAUGCCACACACUUAAUUUGGCCUAACAAUACUGCAGUGGGGACUAAAGAAGCUGAAAAGAAAGGUUACAUCCCCUGGAAUGUGUCUGCUCCCUGCAGUUCCUUGCAGCGUCCUUAUGUAUGGCAAUGUAUGGAAGGUUCCGUCCGAUGCUCCGCCCCUAAUAAAACUUGGGCUUGGAGUCACGGCUGUUUCACGUCUUGCAUAUACAGCUCCUUUGCAAAGCCAAGUUGUUCGUAUGUUAACUAUACCAUUUACAGAGACGGUUCAGUACCUUGCCCCAGAGAUCCUCAUACUACCGCAUCAAUCAACUAGCACAUGCGUUAGAACUUAUUGCCAAUAGCACAGCAGAGGGCAUUGAAUUAGUGCAAGACCAGGCUUCUUGCAACCAUGCUAUGACUUUAGAAAAUCGCUUCGCUUUAGACUAUUUGUUAGCUAGAGAAGGAGGGGUAUGUGCUUUAAUCACAGGAGGACCCUGCUGCACCUAUAUUCCUGACCACUCUGACAACAUAACUGCUGCAGUAAAAACAAUUCGAGACACAGCACGACUUCUUUGCGAAGUUGGUCAGUAAUAGAACGGAUUGCCUCAACUUUAGGAAUGUGGGGAAGGUAUAUCUUAGAAUACAUUUUAUGGGGAUUAGGAAUCUUCUUGGUUAUUAUUGUAAUAAUUGCUGUAAUUACAGCCUGUGUAGUUUGAGUUAAGCUAAAAGUAAUUAAUCUCAAUAUUAUGCAAACCUGGGAAAUGGCCAGCAGGCCAUAGGCCUGUGGCUGUAAGGGGGGAUUGUUAGAAACUAUUGUUGGAAAAUCAGUGUGACCUUUGUAUCACCUUUGGGCAAUGCUAGCUGAUGCAACCUUGCAGUAAGAUUGCCAUGAUCUGUCAAUAUAGGCGGGCAAACAAGGUGAUUGGGCCUAACCAUGCGGGGUGAGCAAAGCCAAGCCAUCUUCUUGAUUUCCUCUGAGUUUUGCACAUGUGUUAUGAAAGAGCUUAUGUAACGAGAGUUUAUAAAGCUACAUGUUGAGUUGCAGUUGGGGUCUCUGUUCCCUUAUGCGGACAGGGGACCUUCGGCCCAAUAAACUGAAAAGACCACA